RNAcentral lists this long non-coding RNA (1219 nucleotides) under Heterocephalus glaber (naked mole-rat). RNAcentral describes it as "lncRNA (ENSHGLG00000044907.1)". The record is from RNAcentral. Lineage: Eukaryota; Metazoa; Chordata; Mammalia; Rodentia; Bathyergidae.
AGGACCUGGAACAUAUUGAGGUAGUAUGUUGGUAUUUGGAAAAGAAAGCUUCAAAAAUAAUGAGAUAAGAUGGCCAUGAAAAUGUCCUGGGGUGGGGUCAUAGUUUGUGUGUGGUUUGUGUCAUGUAAUGUACAUGCUUUGUAAUCCUGUGUGGAAAAUGAGUUGUGUAAGGCAACUACUAUAAAUUAUAUAUGUACAUACACACGUAUAUAGACAUGUGCAGGUAUGUGUGUAUACAUACAUAUACAGAGUCUGCCAAAAAAGUAUACACACUUCAGGAAAAGAAAAAUAGUAUGUUUUUCAAGUACCCAAAUAUGGGGCACCAUAGAGGAUGUUGUAGAUUGCAGGAAAUCCACUACAUUUUCACCGCUAAUGGGCUCAACUUUGAGCACCUCUUGUAAUUGUAGUGGCCAAAGAUAACUUGCAUUAAUCUCAUUAUAUCUCAAUAAAUGCAGUAUUUACUUAUACAAGUUUUUCUUUUCCUGAAGUGUGUAUACAUUUUGGGGGCAGAAUCUGUAUAUGUAUGUAUACAUACAUAUAUUCUGGUAUACCUUUGCUGACUGUCUGGUACUGGCAAAAGCAGAUAGUGAUGUGUCUGUGUGUGUGUGUGUGUGUGUGUGUGUGUCUGAUACUGUGUGAGAUAGCACAUGUGAUUUCAUUGUGAAUAUUGGUAGAUGGUGUGACAGUAGCCUUACAUGUUGGAGGAAGUGUUUAUGACCUCAGCACAUGCAGCUCUGUGAAGGGCUGAAGGCGUGGUGGAAGAAGUGACUUUUGUGUGAGAACAUAUGCGUAUUAGAAGGGCACAAGAGUUUUCUAGUAUUUUGUCUACUAGUAGCAUUAUGAAAUUAAAACAGGUUAUCCAUGUGAGGUAAUAGAUUAUCUGUGUGAGGUGAUAUGAAGUUAUUUACAGGAUUAAGGUGUAAAAUGGUGGGUGAGUCUGAGAAUGACUUCUGGAAUGUGGGCAUAAGGCUGUACCUAUGUAACGCUGAUACUGGGAAAAUAGGGAGAGGAGAUAGUUAUGAGAAAGAUAAAAAGGUGAAAUGGUCUGUACUUAGUAGAAAGGAGUGUGACAUGUGAGUGUGAGCUGAGUUUAUACACUGAUCUGAGGGGGAAGACUCUGAUCAUCCCACCUCCUGCACAUCACAUAGGCCACUGCCUCACCCACAGUGGCCCCAGUGUUCACAUGAAAAUGUGUGCUGAGCAACUCUGUCCUCCUCUA